CAGUCGCCGCGGGAAUACGAAGGGUGCAAGCGUUAAUCGGAAUUACUGGGCGUAAAGCGUGCGUAGGCGGUUUGUUAAGUCUGUUGUGAAAUCCCCGGGCUCAACCUGGGAAUGGCAAUGGAUACUGGCAAGCUAGAGUGCGUCAGAGGAUGGAGGAAUUCCCGGUGUAGCGGUGAAAUGCGUAGAGAUCGGGAGGAACAUCAGUGGCGAAGGCGGCCAUCUGGGACAACACUGACGCUGAGGCACGAAAGCGUGGGGAGCAAACAGGAUUAGAGACCCCUGUAGUCCCUGUCUCUUAUAA
Molecule: ribosomal RNA, 301 nt
Filed under: uncultured bacterium
Lineage: Bacteria
Description: partial 16S ribosomal RNA
Rfam family: Bacterial small subunit ribosomal RNA
Source: RNAcentral